GUGGUGUUUGGAUUGAUACGGGUGGUCGGCUCCCUGCUUGUGCAGGCACGGCCAUGCGUACAUUCCUCUUCAGUUAUGCGGCAGGGCUUGUAUCGCCUUGAUCGUAUGUGUGGGUUUCCUGUGUUGCAUACCUGAUCAAUGGCAUCGUCUUGAUCAAAACAGUCCCUUUUUCGUCAAGCGCUGCUCUCGUGACGUAGGACGAAUCAACUAGCACCCUCUUUGAUCCAUCCUGUUGACGAUCAUUUGUCUAUGGUUUGGCCCAUUGAGGGAUGCUUGGUCUCUCGGAUAUGGAAGCCAAAGUGGGCAUGGGGUUGUAUGAUCCUUUUAUUGCCCUCGUUGAGCGUUCUCGCUUCUCUAAAACGACCGCCUCUCACGUAUGGCACGUCCCAGCGUGUUUGGCUACGUCGAAGAGGAAUG
RNAcentral lists this unclassified non-coding RNA (417 nucleotides) under Chiliotrichum fuegianum. RNAcentral describes it as "partial external transcribed spacer". The record is from RNAcentral. Lineage: Eukaryota; Viridiplantae; Streptophyta; Magnoliopsida; Asterales; Asteraceae.